This 1196-nucleotide ribosomal RNA is filed under the name Rutstroemia firma. RNAcentral describes it as "LSU rRNA". It matches the Rfam family "Eukaryotic large subunit ribosomal RNA", at positions 54 to 1672 of the family's 3401-position model. Lineage: Eukaryota; Fungi; Ascomycota; Leotiomycetes; Helotiales; Rutstroemiaceae. The record is from RNAcentral.
GGGAAGAUCAAGAUUGCCUCAGUAACGGCGAGUGAAGCGGCAUAAGCUCAAAUUUGAAAUCUGGCUCUUUCAGGGUCCGAGUUGUAAUUUGUAGAAGAUGUUUCGGGUGUGGCACCGGUCUAAGUUCCUUGGAACAGGACGUCAUAGAGGGUGAGAAUCCCGUACGUGACUGGCUGCCUACGCCCAUGUGAAACUCUUUCGACGAGUCGAGUUGUUUGGGAAUGCAGCUCAAAAUGGGUGGUAUAUUUCAUCUAAAGCUAAAUAUUGGCCAGAGACCGAUAGCGCACAAGUAGAGUGAUCGAAAGAUGAAAAGCACUUUGGAAAGAGAGUUAAACAGUACGUGAAAUUGUUGAAAGGGAAGCGCUUGCAAUCAGACUUGCGCCUAGUUGAUCAUCCAAGCUUUUGGUUGGUGCACUCGACUAGGCUCAGGCCAGCAUCGGUUUGGGCGGUUGGAUAAAGACUUGGGGAACGUAGCCUCCUUCGGGUGGUGUUAUAGCCCCAGGUGCAAUGCAGCCUGCCUGGACCGAGGACCGCGCUUCGGCUAGGAUGCUGGCGUAAUGGUUGUAAGCGACCCGUCUUGAAACACGGACCAAGGAGUCGACCUAUUUAGCGAGUGUUUGGGUGUUAAACCCAUACGCGUAAUGAAAGUGAACGGAGGUGAGAACCCGUUAGGGCGCAUCAUCGACCGAUCCUGAUGUCUUCGGAUGGAUUUGAGUAAGAGCUAAGUGGGUCGGACCCGAAAGAUGGUGAUCUAUACGUGAAUAGGGUGAAGCCAGAGGAAACUCUGGUGGAGGCUCGCAGCGGUUCUGACGUGCAAAUCGAUCGUCAAAUUUGCGUAUAGGGGCGAAAGACUAAUCGAACCAUUAAACCUUACUAGGUGGUUGAGAGAGGAUCGUUUGAGAGAUCCUUUAGUUCCCACUCGGGGCAACAUCGUCAAAUUGUUCGGGGACCACCUGUGAAUUUGCAAGCUACCGCAGCCAGCUCGAAAGGGUUGGUGAGCACCUGAGAUAGCGACUUAGGGUAUGGUAAUAACGCUUGCAUGGGGUGUAUCCGCAGCGAAUCCCUAAGCCUUUUUAGGUAUGGGUGUCGUUCACAGACUAGACGGCGGUGGACGUGGUAUCGGAAGGUAUAGGCUUAAUAACCCUAUAUUCUUACAUGUCACGCUUAAGAUAUAGUCGAACCCCCCAGAGAUGGGG